RNAcentral lists this transfer-messenger RNA (360 nucleotides) under Pseudorhodoplanes sinuspersici. RNAcentral describes it as "Alphaproteobacteria transfer-messenger RNA". It matches the Rfam family "Alphaproteobacteria transfer-messenger RNA". Rfam says of the family: Bacterial tmRNA, also known as 10Sa RNA or SsrA, is named for its dual tRNA and mRNA-like properties. Its role is to liberate the mRNA from a stalled ribosome. The record is from Rfam by way of RNAcentral. Lineage: Bacteria; Pseudomonadati; Pseudomonadota; Alphaproteobacteria; Hyphomicrobiales.
GCCCUUCCCUCACCGGGCGUGCGCACUUAUAUUCCUCAGUGCCGGCGCAAGCCGGCUAUGGCGAUAAACGGGCCUCAUAAUAAACCUUUCGGACCCGGGGGCAGUACCCGGCGCCUCCACCAAAGUCCGCCGUGAAAAACGGGCUUUGGCGGGGGCGAAACAGGAUCGACGAGGGCGUAAAAGUUGUUCUUUCGCUCGGCAUGGUACCGCCGAUAUCGGGCCAAUCGUAUAGUUGCCAACGACAACUAUGCUCCGGUUGCUCAGGCCGCGUAAGCGGUUUGAAAGACCAAGCCUAAAGCCCUGAUGGGUUAAGCUCCGUCAGGCGGGGUUCGGAGGCACCUGGCAACAGAAGCCUCCACU